RNAcentral lists this ribosomal RNA (346 nucleotides) under uncultured bacterium. RNAcentral describes it as "bacterial SSU rRNA". It matches the Rfam family "Bacterial small subunit ribosomal RNA", at positions 9 to 351 of the family's 1533-position model. The record is from RNAcentral.
GAGUUUGAUCGUGGCUCAGAUUGAACGCUGGCGGCAGGCUUAACACAUGCAAGUCGAACGGUAGCAGGAGAAAGCUUGCUUUCUUGCUGACGAGUGGCGGACGGGUGAGUAAUGCUUGGGAAUCUGGCUUAUGGAGGGGGAUAACUACGGGAAACUGUAGCUAAUACCGCGUAAUGUCUAAGGACUAAAGGGUGGGACCUAUUGGCCACCUGCCAUAAGAUGAGCCCAAGUGGGAUUAGGUAGUUGGUGGGGUAAAGGCCUACCAAGCCGACGAUCUCUAGCUGGUCUGAGAGGAUGACCAGCCACACUGGAACUGAGACACGGUCCAGACUCCUACGGGAGGCAG